UACGUAGGGUGCAAGCGUUGUCCGGAUUUACUGGGCGUAAAGCGCGCGCAGGCGGUCCGGUAAGUCUCCGGUGAAAUCGCCCGGCUCAACUGGGCGGGUGCCGGGGAGACUGGCGGACUUGAGGAGCCUAGAGGCCGGUGGAACUCCCGGUGUAGUGGUGAAAUGCGUAGAGAUCGGGAAGAACACCAGUGGCGAAGGCGGCCGGCUGGGGGUGUCCUGACGCUGAGGCGCGAGAGCGUGGGGAGCAAACCGG
This 253-nucleotide ribosomal RNA is filed under the name uncultured bacterium. Its description in RNAcentral is "partial 16S ribosomal RNA". It matches the Rfam family "Bacterial small subunit ribosomal RNA", at positions 524 to 776 of the family's 1533-position model. The record is from RNAcentral.